Molecule: unclassified non-coding RNA, 377 nt
Filed under: plant metagenome
Description: partial contains 5.8S ribosomal RNA, internal transcribed spacer 2, and large subunit ribosomal RNA
Rfam family: 5.8S ribosomal RNA (bases 1-104)
Source: RNAcentral
AAAUGCGAUAAGUAAUGUGAAUUGCAGAAUUCAGUGAAUCAUCGAAUCUUUGAACGCACCUUGCGCUCCUUGGUAAUCCUUGGAGCAUGCCUGUUUGAGUAUCAUGAAAUCUUCAAAGUAAAUCUUUUGUUAACUCAAUUGGUUUCUACUUUGGUAUUGGAGGUCUUUGCAGCUUCACACCUGCUCCUCUUUGUUCAUUAGCUGGAUCUCAGUGUUAUGCUUGGUUCCACUCGGCGUGAUAAGUUAUCUAUCGCUGAGGACACUGUAAAAGGUGGCCAAGGUAAAUGCAGAUGAACCGCUUCUAAUAGUCCAUUGACUUGGACAAUACUUUUAUGAUCUGAUCUCAAAUCAGGUAGGACUACCCGCUGAACUUAAGC